This 516-nucleotide long non-coding RNA is filed under the name Manacus vitellinus (golden-collared manakin). RNAcentral's name for it is "lncRNA (ENSMVIG00005000810.1)". The record is from RNAcentral. Lineage: Eukaryota; Metazoa; Chordata; Aves; Passeriformes; Pipridae.
AUGAGGCUCUGUGACUGCCAUCUGCCCAUCACUGGUGGAGUUUUACUGCCUAGUAGCAGAACAGAUUGUUAGCGUCCCCUCGGCUGCUGAGCUCGUAUCCUGGUUGAAAUAGAUGGUGUUGGAAGUUGUGCAUGGGACUUGGAUGAGCAAGGCACUGAAAUUUACAACAAUUAUACAAAACAAGAGAAGAACACGCCUCAUUACUAUGUUUCUGCAGAACUGUAUGCCUCAGCAAAUGUGGAGCUUGAGAGAUGGAUGGAUUUUUCUUGAUCAUUAGAGUAGCAGUCCUUUGUAUCUGGCACUUACUCAAGGGCAGAGAAGCUUCUGAGGAUGGUACUACUUACAGAACAAUAAACACAAGGAGGGAAAUACUGCAGGUGACACUGGGACCCGCAGUUGUCACAGCUGGGAGGUCAGCACAGUUAAAUCAAUCACAUUCAAGAUGCCUGCAGAGAAAACAGUAGAGGUGAAAGCUUGUAAAUUCUGAUAAUCACCAACAUUUGAGGUGCAUACAUG